RNAcentral lists this transfer RNA (72 nucleotides) under Pteridomonas sp. YPF1301. Its description in RNAcentral is "tRNA-Thr". It matches the Rfam family "tRNA". From Rfam's summary of the family: Transfer RNA (tRNA) molecules are approximately 80 nucleotides in length. Their secondary structure includes four short double-helical elements and three loops (D, anti-codon, and T loops). Lineage: Eukaryota; Dictyochophyceae; Pedinellales. The record is from RNAcentral.
GCGAAUGUAGCUCAAUGGUAGAGCAAUUGAUUUGUAAUCAAUAGGUUAAAGGUUCAAAUCCUUUCUUUCGCU